Molecule: ribosomal RNA, 410 nt
Filed under: Boonea seminuda
Lineage: Eukaryota; Metazoa; Mollusca; Gastropoda; Pyramidellidae
Description: partial 16S ribosomal RNA
Rfam family: Bacterial large subunit ribosomal RNA
Source: RNAcentral
AUCCUAAAGUGUCUAUUUUAGGUGUCCCCUGCCCGGUGCAACGUAAACGGCCGCAGUAUUUUAACUGUGCUAAGGUAGCAAAAUCAAUAGGCUUUUAAUUGAAGUCGAGUAUGAAUGGGGCUAUGGAGGCAAGCUGUAUAAUCACUGUUUCUCAGAACUUAAUAAAGUGGUGAAAAUGCCACUGUUACUAAAAAAGACGAUAAGACCCCGGGAAUUUUCGCAAAUGUGUUUGUUGGGGCAACAGCUAUGUAAACAAAGUAUAAAGUAUUGCUAAGACUAUUUAAUAUUCAUGAAUAAUUACCCCGGGGAUAACAGCAUAAUACAUAUCUGUGUUUAUGACCUCGAUGUUGGACUAAGGAAUUUACAUGCUAGCCGUUUGUAAAUACUGCUCUGUUCGAGCAUCUACCCUU